CUUGGUCAUUUAGAGGAAGUAAAAGUCGUAACAAGGUUUCCGUAGGUGAACCUGCGGAAGGAUCAUUCACAAACGAGUGUUUUAUGGCACUCUUUAAAAAUCCAUAUCCACCUUGUGUGCAAUGUUUGUUGGGAAAGUCUUUUCUUUCCCUUCAUAAAUAUCAACCUAUAUCUUUAACAACAUUCGUCUGAUAACAUAUUAUGAAUAUACUUAAUUCAAAAUAUAACUUUCAACAACGGAUCUCUUGGCUCUCGCAUCGAUGAAGAACGCAGCGAAAUGCGAUACGUAAUGUGAAUUGCAGAAUUCAGUGAAUCAUCGAAUCUUUGAACGCAUAUUGCGCUCUUUGGUAUUCCGAAGAGCAUGCUUGUUUGAGUAUCAGUAAACACCUCAACCUCUCUUUUUUGAUAAAAAAAAGGGAGGGUGGACUUGAGCUAUCCCAACGACCUUCACCGGUAGGCGGGCGGCUUGAAAUGCAGGUGCAGCUGGACUUUUAUCUGAGCUAAAAGCAUAUCUAUUUAGUCCUCGUCAAACAGGAUUAUUACUUUUGCUGCAGCUAACAUAAAGGAUAAUUGUCCUCUUUGCUGACUGAUGCAGGAUUUUACGACACUUUAUGUGUUGUUCAACUCGAUCUCAAAUCAAGUAAGACUACCCGCUGAACUUAAGCAUAUCAAUAAGCGGAGGAAAAGAAACUAACAAGGAUUCCCCUAGUAACGGCGAGUGAAGCGGGAUGAGCUCAAAUUUAAAAUCUGGCAGUCUUUGAUUGUCCGAGUUGUAAUCUAGAGAAGCAUUAUCCGCGCUGGACCGUGUACAAGUCUCCUGGAAUGGAGCGUCAUAGAGGGUGAGAAUCCCGUCUUUGACACGGACUGCCAGGGCUUUGUGAUGUGCUCUCAAAGAGUCGAGUUGUUUGGGAAU
This 912-nucleotide small RNA is filed under the name uncultured Mortierella. RNAcentral's name for it is "eukaryotic LSU rRNA". The stretch from base 626 to 912 matches the Rfam family "Eukaryotic large subunit ribosomal RNA", at positions 1 to 281 of the family's 3401-position model. Lineage: Eukaryota; Fungi; Mortierellomycota; Mortierellomycetes; Mortierellales; Mortierellaceae. The record is from RNAcentral.